Molecule: long non-coding RNA, 802 nt
Organism: Cygnus olor (mute swan)
Lineage: Eukaryota; Metazoa; Chordata; Aves; Anseriformes; Anatidae
Exons: 3
Source: RefSeq, a predicted model, not a curated record
AUGCCUGUAAUUACCAUUUCCCUUCUGAUGCCGUCUGAUGUCAGCAGCUAAAAGUGGCAGAAGAGUGGAUGGGCUGUAAUAGCGCAUACCAAACUACCGUACUGCAAGUACAGAACAGCUUGAACCAGUUCUAAGAGACAGAAUCAUAUGAUGAUGCUGUUCUUCUAAGAAGAAUAUCUUGUGCAAUAUGUGAAAGGCCUUUCAGUAAGAGUUAACCAGAGUAACUGCUGGCUCUGCCAUGGAACUUAAGCUGGUCAACGCAAUUAAAGGAAAAUGAAAAUGUUCUCAUAUGAUGUAAGCUGUGAGAAGGAGGAGGAAGUGGUAGCUUGACGGAUGAAAAGAUUUGAGAAACAGGAAAGGAUGAGGUGAUACAUGACUGUCAGGGUUCAGAGACACAGAAACAUAAGAAAAGCAACCAAGUAGAGCUGGGGAAGACAUUACCAACAGGAGCUGAAGGAAUUGAUAGGAGCACAGAGCCAGAACAGGAGGGACAGGAAAUCUGGAAAGACAAGACAGAGGUUUAUAACCUGUGUAGAAAUGAAGUCAGACAGUCUUCACAGAACUGAAGUUGGGAUUCCUGAGCUCUUCUGUUGUCCAGCAAAUUAUUUAAAAUCCACUGUUCUCCAGUGGCUUAUCCAUAUAAAAAGAUAUUACCUCUGCCAGUUGUUUUGUUUCCAGUGGUAGAGGUAUGUGACUCUUAAAUGUCCAACACUGCUGAUGACUCUUGGAAAGUGCUUGGGAAUUUCAUUUUGAUUCCAUUAAGUAAUUAGCUGUGCUUUUUGUUCUUCCUCAAAAAAAAAAU